RNAcentral lists this small nucleolar RNA (2859 nucleotides) under Homo sapiens (human). Its description in RNAcentral is "sno-lncRNA1". The stretch from base 2 to 97 matches the Rfam family "Small nucleolar RNA SNORD116". The record is from RNAcentral. Lineage: Eukaryota; Metazoa; Chordata; Mammalia; Primates; Hominidae.
UGGAUCGAUGAUGAGUCCUCCAAAAAAAACAUUCCUUGGAAAAGCUGAACAAAAUGAGUGAAAACUCAUACCGUCAUUCUCAUCGGAACUGAGGUCCAGCACAUUGCUUCCUCUGGGGCCUUUACUAGUGAGGGACAACUUCCACUAGUCCCUAUAGGUUCUAACACCCAUGGCGUUCACAGGUGAAGGUCUCCUGUCAUAUUACAAACAUUCCCCCCACUCCCCUCCCAAAAAAAGGAACAUUUCCUCUGUGUCAGGUACACAGGUCAGAGAGUCAUAGGGUGACUGGCUGCUCUGUGAUGGCAUAGUGGCCGUGGAAGUGGAUGGAAAUGUCGCAGGCUUAGGGGAGUGUGGGGCUGGCCUCGGCUUGGUGAGCUCCCAGGAAGGGGGACCUGGAAAUCGCUGCGGGCAUCCUUGCAUAGAGGACCAGGUACGUGUUCCAGUUCUGCUUUCAAGGAGAGCAUGAGGCCCAGGCCUCAGACAGUCCUUGGUCUUGAUCUUUGGUUAGCUGAGGACAGGGGAGUGCCAAGGGUGAUAGGGGAGAGCGCACAGCAAUGGAUGUUGUGGCAGACAGCUAAAGCCUUUCUGUCCCUCCUUUCACGGUCAGUCCCAGGGGGCCCCCAGCACAGACUUUUUUCACCUCUCGAGCUGUGAGAUUCCUGUGGUGUUGUGGCCAAGCCUGGGCAGGAAGGUACCCCAGAGAAAAGGUUGUAGAGGGCUCACGUGGACAUGCAUGCCAUCAGUGGUCUUGGGCUGUCAUUUGGUGGUGAUGGGCUUUCCAGGGAUUUCUCUGGUGGAUGACAGGUUGGCCAUUGGGGGUCUUCAAGGGCAGGUCCUAGGGAGCAUGAGGGUCGGGCUGAUGCCUGUGGUCCUGGGUCACUCCAUUCUUCCUGGCAGAGUAGUAGAAGUGUCCAUCUUCCUGGAAAUGGUCUCUUGGCCCGCCAUUGCCAGGCGGCCCCACCUGCUGCAGCUCGUGUGAGCAAAUACUGCUCUGGAUCCCAUUUCCCGCUUUGAAAGCAGCUUCCAUCCCAAAGGCGUCCAGAGGGAAUGUGCCCUGGCCCUGGCCCUGGCCUGGGACUCUCCGAUGGGGUCCAGUCACACUUGGCGUAUUCAUGGAGGUCCUUGUGCAUUCCAGGCAACACAUGUGCAAUACCAGGGGCACUGCCGUGGAGAGUCUCUUGAUUUGGGAUGCCUCCUCGCCUUUGUGUGUUGGCGAUGUUCCAGUAUUGGAUUCUGCUACAUCCUCAGGGCAAUGAAGCGUUUCAGCUCACUUAGCCGGUUUGACAUCAUAGUGCAGCCAGGACAGCCGUGCCACAUUGGCAUGGCACAUAGUUGACUUAGGACAGUCGGAAAGGGUUGGUGGUUCUAUGUCUCGCAGCUCACUUCAUAGCUGUUUGCAUGUAAACCUGGUGAUGGUGUUGAGAUGGUGUUGACUUGCUGACGUUGGGGUGGUUGGUAGUGCAGUUAAGUUGGCUGCAUGAUGGGAUGUUGCCUCAGAUGUCGGUGCAGCGAAGCCCUGUAGGUGUGUCCAAUGCAAGGAAAAUGAAAGGUGGUGUGUCCUGUCCACCUUGUCUUUAGGGGUUCAGGCAGGAAUGUCCUGUUGGAAAACUAGCCAUUCCCUUUGUGUGUCCUGAAGGCAUGGUGCGGGCAUGUGAACUGAUUGGAGGAAGGAAGUGUGUGUCUUGAGGUCCUUUGGCUGGGUUCAGAAGACUGUCUCUGGCCUUGAUGCCGUGUGCCGUGUUUAAGACCAACGUGGUGGCCAUUGCAAAGGUGCCUUCCAGUGCAAGUUUUGGUUGGUUUGGUGUCAGGUGUGCCUUACCUGGGAGAGCGGCGAGAGACAGUGUCUGGUCACGACAUUAUAUGCCCCGUAAGGAGGACUGUGUGCUUGCACCGCCAGGGGUGCUGGCUGUUAGUCGAGGGACAUCAGGCCAAUGUCUGUCUGACCCCUAGGUCAAAAUUCGCAUCCUACUGAUUGAAGGCCUUGGGUCUCGAGCCUUUUGGUUGCAGGUGUGGGGAUGGUUUCCAGGUCUGGAGGCUGCCAACUAUGACAACCCGUUGUGCUGUUGGGAAACAUCUGUGUGGGGGAGACACAUACACAUAGACACACUCACUCUGACAUACACACCUACACAUGCACAGGCGUGCACAGCCACAGGCAGAUAGAUGCAGCAAUGGGUGUGUGCUAUUGUUGUGGUCACAUGUGCUUCCUAGGUGUCCACAGAGUGACAUGGGUCAGGUAUAUUCAUGAAGAUGGAGGUCUGUCAUGGAGCCCAAGGAGAAGCCGGUGUGCAAGUUUCCCUGUGGGAAAGAAUGGGAUUGAAGUGGUGACCAGUGGACUUGGGCCCGUUUCUCAAGCAUGCAUUUGAUUUCUUUACACUUCUCAGCAGCAGUUGUCAUGAGAGGUCUGCCGCUUGCUGGCAAGGAAGAUGGUCAAUUCUUCUGACCAACAGAGGCUGCCUUGAGUCCUGAUUUGGUGUGGCCUGGCAUCUAUGGUGCACCCAAUGCUGGUGAGUGGCUCAGGGUGGUAAGCAUUCCUCUGCCCUGUGUGCAGAGGUGUCUUUUGAAUUUUGAGACCUGCAAAGAGCUGUUUCUCAGCAGGCCACUAAUGGCAUGGCGAGUUCCACUCCCAGAGCUGAUUGUCUGUGUUCAUUGCUCAGUGGUGUGGCUCUGGGUUCCCCCCAGGAUGCUGAAGGUGUUUAAGGUCAUCAGCUCUCCCACUGCCCAGCCUGUGGUGUCAAAUGUUCUGCCUCUUCGAACGUGCUUGGAUCGAUGAUGAGUCCCCCAUAAAAACAUUCCUUGGAAAAGCUGAACAAAAUGAGUGAGAACUCAUACCGUCGUUCUCAUCAGAACUGAGGUCCA